UUCGGGGGAUUAGUAGAGUGGCGUCCGGGUGAGUAACACGUAGGUAAUCUACCUUCGGGUGGGGAAUAACCCAGGGAAACUUGGGCUAAUACCGCAUAAUGCAGCGGCACCACAUGGUGACAGUUGUUAAAGCGGGGGAUCUUCGGAUCUCGCGCCUGAAGAGGAGCCUGCGGCAGAUUAGCUUGUUGGUAGGGUAACGGCUUACCAAGGCGACGAUCUGUAGCCGGCCUGAGAGGGCGGUCGGCCACACUGACACUGACAUACGGGUCAGACUCCUACGGGAGGCAGCAGUCGGGAAUUUUGGGCAAUGGGCGAAAGCCUGACCCAGCAACGCCGCGUGAAGGAUGAAAUCCCUCGGGAUGUAAACUUCGCAAGAAUGGGAAGAAUUAGUAGGGGCUAAUACCCUCUAUGAUGACGGUACCAUUUGUAAGCUCCGGCUAACUCCGUGCCAGCAGCCGCGGUAAUACGGGGGGAGCAAGCGUUGUUCGGAUUUACUGGGCGUAAAGGGCGCGUAGGCGGCCAGCGCAAGUCAGUUGUGAAAUCUCCGGGCUUAACUCGGAAAGGUCAACUGAUACUGCGCGGCUAGAGUGCAGAAGGGGCAACUGGAAUUCUCGGUGUAGCGGUGAAAUGCGUAGAUAUCGAGAGGAACACCUGCGGCGAAGGCGGGUUGCUGGGCUGACACUGACGCUGAUGCGCGAAAGCCAGGGGAGCGAACGGGAUUAGAUACCCCGGUAGUCCUGGCCUUAAACGAUGGAUGCUUGGUGUCUGGAGUUUUAUAGUCUCCGGGUGCCGUA
RNAcentral lists this ribosomal RNA (794 nucleotides) under uncultured Bacillota bacterium. RNAcentral's name for it is "bacterial SSU rRNA". It matches the Rfam family "Bacterial small subunit ribosomal RNA", at positions 78 to 850 of the family's 1533-position model. The record is from RNAcentral. Lineage: Bacteria; Bacillati; Bacillota.